Molecule: unclassified non-coding RNA, 371 nt
Filed under: Hevea brasiliensis (rubber tree)
Lineage: Eukaryota; Viridiplantae; Streptophyta; Magnoliopsida; Malpighiales; Euphorbiaceae
Source: RNAcentral
UUUGAAAACUUUAAAGACCCAACAAACUUCGAAGGCAUUGCAGAGCAUCAUCUGAAAUUGUCGCUUCAGAACCUUAAUGAGGACAUCCUUAGGCGACAGUAAGUACAUCUUAGUCAUGGAUAAACUGUGAGUCUAAUGACAAGGAAUUCAACAAUCUAAAAUGAGAUUCCUCACUAACUUCUCAUAAACCUAAGGAACUAUAUGUAUCUUAGUUUGACUGGCACAAAAUUUUGAAAAAGCUAGGAAUACUUUUCAAUCUUAUGGUCUUAAAUAUAUCGUGUUGGAUGUUGGAGUUAAAAGAAUUACUAAAUAUAUAAAGUGACAUUGUUUCCAAAACAGACUAAAAUGAAAGUAAGACACAUAUAUUGAAA